UGGGGAAAAAGGGAAAAAAAAGGGGGAAAAGGAGGGGGGGGGAAAAGGGGGAAGAAAAACGGAAAAUUGGGGAAUAAAAUGGGAAAAAAAGUGGGGAAAAAAUGGGGGAAAAAAGGGAAUAAACGGGAAAAAAAUUUGGGAAUAUUGGAGGAGGGGAAUGGGGUGAGAGCCAGGCUGGAAAAAUUCGGGAUGAGGGUUUUUUUUGGGAUGAGGGCGGCGUCUUGGAGGGUUUGGAAUGAAAAAAGCUCCUUUUUGUGGUAAAAAGCGGAAUUUGUGGGAAUUUCCGCCUGCUGCAAAAUCCCGGGUUUGUUUUUUUUUCCCAGCCCUUUUUUUAAUGUUUUUUUCCCCCCUCUUUUCCUCCACUUCCCGGUCCAGGAUCCCCCAAAUCCAAGGAAUUCCCACCCAAAAUUCCAGCUCAGCCAAAGCACCGUUUAUUCCCAAUAAAAAAAUAAUUAAACAGCAAAAAAAAAAUCCCAAUUUUUCCCGGAAUUCCUGGAAUUCCCGGAGGUUUUCCCAUGGGAAUGCUCAGGUUUGGAAUGUCGGAGCCAAAUCCGUGGAUUUUGAUCCCGGAUUUUUUGGGGUUUUUUUUUUUCUCUCCUCCUCUGGGGGAAUUCCGAGCUCCAAAAAAAAAUCCCAAAUAAAAAUUCCCCCCUUGGAAUUCUCCGUUCCCGGGUUUUUCACGGGAAUUCCUCAAUUCCUGGGGGGUUUUUCCUUCAAAAUUUCCGAUUUCUGGGGCAUUUUCCAUCAGAAUUCCCAAUUCCUGGAGCGUUUUUCCAUCAAAAUUUCCAGUUUCUGGGACAUUUUCCAUCAGAAUUCCCGAUUCCUGGGGGGUUUUCCAAUGGAAUUCCGGAUUUCUGGGACAUUUUCCAUCGGAAUUCCUGAUUUCUAGGACAUUUUUCCAAUAGAAUUCCGGAUUUCUGGGGCAUUUUCCAUCGGAAUUCCCAAUUCCUGGGGGGUUUUCCAUCAGAAUUCCCGAUUCCUGUGGGGUUUUCCAAUGGAAUUCCGGAUUUCUGGGGCAUUUUCCAAUGGAAUUCCCAAUUCCUGGAGU
Cyanistes caeruleus (blue tit) is the source of this 1048-nucleotide long non-coding RNA. The record is from Ensembl. Lineage: Eukaryota; Metazoa; Chordata; Aves; Passeriformes; Paridae.